CAUUGCUUUAGCUAAUACAAGCCCAACAAAGCAUUCCUUUGGCUACAGCCAGUGACUUGAGUUUGACCAUGAAAUUCACUAGGGUAUUACUCCUUCUCUCACUUGUCGCCUGUUUGUUGGCACAAGUUGAGAAAAUCUCCGCCGACUCUCUUUUGGAUCUGAUGACCGCUGACACAGGCAAGGAUACCUCUGAGGAUAUUACAACUCGCAAUUUGAGCGCAUGCAAGGACGAGCACAGUGAAGAGUUUUGUGAUCGGUUUAAAUCAUUUUGUGCGGGACAUGGAGGAGUUAAAAAUAAAGUAUACCUGUGGCGAAAAUGUCGCCGCACAUGUGGAGUGUGCUAAGGAGGGAUAACCAGCUGGAAAACAGCAAGGAAAGACACAAUUUAAAAGUUUAAGGAUGCAAAAAUGAAUGUUAUAUAAUCGCUCGUGAUAAUUAAAAGUUAUAACGCUAUGCAUCAUUAUACCUGGCUUAUAUUUGAAAGCCAACAGUGACUUGUCUUGUUAAAAAUUAGUGAUUAAAAUUAUUUAUCUUGCAUCACAUGA
Long non-coding RNA from Pocillopora damicornis (cauliflower coral), 545 nucleotides. RefSeq lists it as uncharacterized. The record is from RefSeq and is a predicted model, not a curated record. NCBI's taxonomy places the organism in Eukaryota, Metazoa, Cnidaria, Anthozoa, Scleractinia, Pocilloporidae.